RNAcentral lists this ribosomal RNA (495 nucleotides) under uncultured bacterium. Its description in RNAcentral is "bacterial SSU rRNA". It matches the Rfam family "Bacterial small subunit ribosomal RNA", at positions 17 to 507 of the family's 1533-position model. The record is from RNAcentral.
UCCUGGCUCAGGAUGAACGCUAGCGGCAGGCUUAAUACAUGCAAGUCGUGGGGCAGCAUGAGUAGCAAUACUUGAUGGCGACCGGCAAACGGGUGAGGAACACGUACACAACCUUCCUUCAAGCGGGGAAUAGCCCAGAGAAAUUUGGAUUAAUACCCAUAAUAUAUUUGAUAAGGCAUCUUAUUAAUAUUAAAGCUUCGGCACUUGAUGAUGGGUGUGCGGCUGAUUAGAUAGUUGGCGGGGUAACGGCCCACCAAGUCUACGAUCAGUAGCUGAUGUGAGAGCAUGAUCAGCCACACGGGCACUGAGACACGGGCCCGACUCCUACGGGAGGCAGCAGUAAGGAAUAUUGGACAAUGGACGAAAGUCUGAUCCAGCCAUGCCGCGUGAAGGAUUAAGGUCCUCUGGAUUGUAAACUUCUUUUAUAUGGGACGAAAAAAGGGCAUUCUUGUUCACUUGACGGUACCAUAUGAAUAAGCACCGGCUAACUCCGUG